UAACAAAGAACAGCAGACCUCUUGAGUCGCGACUGAGUAGGAGAGACAAGGAGCAACGCAAUGACUGAGGAAGACACCGAAACAUUGACUGAGAAGGCGGAGUCAGAGCGCGACAGUGGCUCGGAGAGACAGAGUGACAGGGGAAAGUAUUACCUCGUUCGAGCUUGACGGAGAAGGAGGAAAGGACGGCGGUCGGCGGAAGUGCAGGGUCGUUGGGUCAGAGCAGAGUGACGCAAAUCAGGCGAAGGACUCGGGAAUGAAAGGGAUCGGUCGGCGUUCGUGAAGUAGGGCAUCUAGGGGAAAAAAAAAACGCCGAAACCAGCUGCGUUUCAUGUCCUACCCGCGUCGACCCGUGCCCGCCGGCAGCCGCCUGUGUCCUCCCGUUUGGCAAAAAAAAAAAAAAAGGGACACGCCGCAUCAGCGUACAGGACGAGUAUCCGUGUCGGAUACGCAUUAUCCGACACGGACACGGCGCUGAUUUUGGCGUGUCCGUGCUUCAGAAAUUCAGUUGAGGAAAUUGGAGGUAACUAUUGUGAUCCAAUUAUAAUGAUGUAUAGGUAACUGUUGUGAAAAAUGAAGAAGGUGGGGAUUCGGUUUCCUCUGUUGUGUUAUGAUGAAGUACUGAUGGUAUACUGGAUGACCUUGAAAGAGCAGUUGAUGAUGGUGUGAAUACUUGUAAGGACUUGUGCUGGGACAGUCGUAAUAUACCUAGACAGCUACUGAAAUUGAGUUUGCUAGAAAAGUGAAAGAAUUCCCCUUCAAGAAGACAAGUCAAAGGCUUGAUGAUUUCAUCAGGAAACUGAUGCAAAUGUAACAGCAGCCUUUCUGGUUCCAGUUUUGACUCCCUUGCCUUGCCACCAAGGGUGGGCGUGGUCCUCAACGAUAUACAGGCGAUAAUAGUGCAUUUCAGGCUGAAGUAAGUGCGCGUGGUGAGAAUAAAUCUCAUUGUGCCACAUGCCGCUGCUUGUGCUGCAUGCGCUGCGGCAUAUGGACGAAAAAAUUACCUUCAUAAAUUAUAAAAUUUUAAAAAUUUUAGAGGAUUAAAAUUGAGGAACACAUGAGAUAAAGAGAGGAGAAGGGCUGAGAAACUAAGUCAAGCCAUUUUGGAGCAGUGAAAGGUGAUUCGGAUUAAUAACUUGUCAGUUGUGGGUCCAGUAUCAAGGCAGACCACCUGGGCAUCAAAAGGAGAAAAAAAAGGAAGAGUUGAAGUUGUUGUGCCAUACGCCGCAACACGUAGAUCGUCCGCUGUGGCGCACAGCUAUCUCUGAGUGAGGGAAGACUUCUCUGUGCCAUACGUCGUGGUGCAUUAUGCGUCCGCCACGGCGCAUGACCAUUUUUUACACUUUAUCAGACUCAAAAUGAGACAAAAAAAGAAAGAAAAGAAAGGAGAGGCGUGCUAAUGCUCUGCAAGGGUUUGUUUAAGGAUCACUUUGAGAGUAUUUUGAAGGCUACAAACACCCAAGGAGCAAACUUAGUUUUAUGGAGGAGCAAUAAGCAAAAUGAAGUGUUUAGAUUGGGUGCAGAAGCAUAAUAUAGGGCUAUGGCACAAUCAAUUUGCAAGGUGGUAUGGAUUUAUCAACUAUUGAAGGAAGUCGGUCUCAAAACAUCAUUACCAGCAAAGUUAUGGUGUAACAAUAAAGUUGCUCUACACAUAGCCUAUAAUCCCGUGUUUCAUAAAUGUAUGAAACAUAUUGAGAUUAAUUGUCAUUUUGUUCAUGAUAAGAUUCAAGAGAAUUUCAUCUCUAUAGGGCAUCAUAGAAGUGGAGAUCUGUUUAUAACAGCUCUUGAUAGGGCUCGAAUUGAAUAUCUUUGUAACAAGUUGGGCAUGAUUAAUAUUUAUGCUCCAACUUGAGGAAGAGUGUUAGAAUAUAAGAUAGUGUAUAUGUUAGAGUUAUAGGUGAGUGUUUAAACCUAAAAGAGCGCAUAAGGAGCAAUUUAUAUUCCAUAGCAAUUGUUCUAGACUAAAAAAAUGUAUUCAUUCAAACCCAUCAGAUAUCAUUGCAAUAAUUAAUCAUCUACACAGCAAGUCAAAAUUUAAAGGAAAUAUUGUUCAACCAUUUCAAUCGGGAGCAAUACAUAUAGAUGAUCAAUUAGCAUAAAUUAUGAUUCUUAUGAUGUCCAAGGAACAAGUAAAAAAGCUCAUUCAAAACUAAGAAGAAACAAUCUAAAAGAAGCCACAAAGAGGUUCAAACAUGAUUAGUAAGUGAAGUGGUUGCCAAACAUUGCAAGAAAAGUGAGCAUCCCUUCUAAAACAAGAACCACAAUAUGACAUGUGAUUUACAUCUAAUAAGAGAGAAGAGAUGAGAGAGAAGAGAACAAUGAGUGCCAUAAAAAGGAUUCUUAAGAUUUUAAUAAUUUAAAUGAGCUCCAUAACAAGGAUUGUUAAGAUUUUAAUAAUUUCAAAGAAAGAGUUUCUUGACAUAAAUCCCUAUUCUUAAAACACGAGUUUUUCCCCAAAUCUCUACUCUUAAAAAGAUACUCGUUGUGAUCCUUAUUGAAAGAUACUUUUAAUCGUUUCAUGCAUUUUAAGAAAAAUUAUUUUUUCCUAGUAUCAUAAAACAAUGAAAUGUAUUUUUAUUUUUACCUUUGACUUUAAAUUAUAAUACAAUUAGAUUAGAUAUCUUCUCGCUAAUCAAUAAAGGGUAAAAUUAAAAAAAAUGAUUUAAUUAUUACAAAGUGCCUACAUUUUGGACCAAAAUUUACUUUUAGAAAAUAUCCUAUAAAUAGGACUGGAGGAAGUAUUAUCUAUUGUUUAUUAUGUUUCACCUCUCCAUAGUAGCAUUAUGUGUACAUGGCUAGAUAUAAGAGAGAUAGAGGAGGCAAAUAAAAUCAAAGAUAAUGAUUCAAUGAGUUUGAUAGAGUUUCUUCACCUAGAACUCCUUGCUCUCUCGGAUCUUCAAACUUCUAUGCUAUUUUCUACUAUUCAUUUUGUUUCACACUCUCUUGUUGCAUUACCAUCCUUGUAAGGGCCAAGGAUGCUGAGAUUGAACAUCGGUAACAAAGCAUGUUCUUUUAUAUAUAUAUAGAAGAGACCCAUCAAAAGGAAGUUCCUUGCACUUAAAUCUCUCUAUAUUUGCUAUGGAUAGGAUAGGGUUCCGGAUGUGAGAACAAAAGGUGAACUCAAUACCUUCGUUUCACACCUAAAAUCAUUAGUUCUGAUCAAAACUCAAGCUCCAAAAUACAUUAUGUCACCCAGGAUUAUCAAAAGCUAUAUAAUAAGCAAGCUUUACAAAUAGAUACGAACAUUGCCAAUUUCAAAUUAUGCACAACAUUGUCCGUCCAGUUCUCUAAAAGCACAAACCACCGAGGUAUUCAUACAUGGGCUAAAAUAUUUAUGCACAAGCACAGCUUGGGAAGAAUCAAGGGAAAAAAGAAACUCACAUCGCUGAGGAGCGAACCCAUCCUUGGUGGCAAUAGGGGAGUCAAAAGCGGAACUAGAAAGGCCGGUGUUACUGUUGCAUUGGUUUCCUAACUAAAUCAUCAAGCCUUUGGUUGUUUAAGGGAAAAACUUUACUUAUGUAUGGUGCAUAUCACAUGAUCCCUAGAAGGAAGACAAGCCAUAUGAUUGCAAUGUAUUUAGUCAUAUUCAUGUAAGUAGAAACAGGGAUAACAAUAUCUUUCUUUAACAGUGAAACCUAGGCAAGGGAAAAGUAAAGUACCAUUUCUUCUUGAAGGA
Molecule: long non-coding RNA, 3676 nt
Organism: Prosopis cineraria
Lineage: Eukaryota; Viridiplantae; Streptophyta; Magnoliopsida; Fabales; Fabaceae
Exons: 6
Source: RefSeq, a predicted model, not a curated record